Gossypium hirsutum (cotton) is the source of this 87-nucleotide non-coding RNA. The record is from Rfam. NCBI's taxonomy places the organism in Eukaryota, Viridiplantae, Streptophyta, Magnoliopsida, Malvales, Malvaceae.
CACGUCAGCACGCUUUGCUGACGUGGCAACAAAUCGCGUCCACGAGGGGGUGAUUUGUUGCCACGUCAGCAAAGCGCGCUGACGUGG